UCCCCAGAAGCGCUCGGUCUGCCCGAGAAUCCCCCCGCCCCAACAUGCAAACCACGAAAACUUAGAUUGGCUGGUGCAGAUGUCAUCCCUGUCGGCAGAUUUCAGGGAGUAAUCCCUGUUGUCGUCCUGGGCUGCAUCUCCCUAAAGACAAAGACUGCUUCGAUUGUUUCCCUGAGCUAUGCAAGAGUUCCAGUCAUUCGUGCAGCAUCCAUGUUUUUGGAUGGUGAGAUGGAAAAAUGAUGUUAAAGACUAAAUUUUUGUGAUGGAACAGAAGGAUUUCUGGGAAUUUGACCCUAAACUCCCACAAGUCACCGAGAGGAGUGAUGGCAUCCCACAAUACGUAGCAGCAGUCCCACAAUACACUGCAGAAAUUUCUCACAAGGCAAUGCUCCAGAUGGUAGCGCAGAGGACGCGGGGAUGCCUACUACAGCACCAUUUGUCUUCUGUCAGUGCAACCUGAUGUUGUGAAGACACACUGCAACAGCAAAGACAGCCAUAUGUGAACACAUUGUGACAAAAGGAGCUAUGUCAGCAGCUGUAUGCCAGCAAAACUUUUGCCAGUAAAAAUGUCUAAUCGCUUUCUAGUUUCUAGGUCUUAGUUUACUUGUAGCUGCUAUUACAUGGUGUAGUUACAAACUUUCAGCCCCAAUAUCUUGCACGGGCACACAGGUAUACAACUACAGUAUUUUAGUCAUGACUGUAAAUUACUAUCCCAUAAUGAGAAAAUAUCUAGACAUGUGGAAGCAUAGUAUGUCAUGGACAGAAGCAGAUGCUUCAGCACAUUGCAAGAAAAAUGAAGUUGGUUUCAACAACCUUAAUUUCAUGAAUAUAAAGAAUAAUCCUCUGUCCAUUAAAAUAUACACACUUCUAAAAUACUAUUGGAAGCAAGGCCAAUUUCAAUAAAGCACAGAAAUACUGUACACAAGAUAUUAUGUGAUAUGGCAUUGAGCUGAAAAUCUGUGUAGAAACACAAAGUUGCAGAAACCUUGCUGGAAAAACUUUAACUGAAAAUCAUAAAUAACUUCAAAUAAAACAGUCAUUAGGCACAUCAAAAGACGAGAAUGGGCAAAGUAAUUGGAAUUUAUAAACUUACAUAAUUAUUUUUUCUUUGUAGGGAGAACAAACAUUCCAAUGUCCCAGCUCUGUCAGGGUCUUUGACAAUUAGACUCCUUUUUAUAAAUAUAUUAUGUAAGUUUAUAAAUUUCAAUUAGUGCUUGUCCUUGUGUCUUGCAGCCUAAGUAUGUUUUCAUUUUGGGUUAUUAUUCAGACAGUGGAUGGAACCGUUUUCCUUGGUGCAUCUAUAAGGUGAUUUCGAUGAAAAUCCUUUUAACAAAAUUAAAAAAAAUUGGAUUAUAGUUUGACUACUAAGAUUCAGGAAAAGAAACAUGAAUUUGCUUUUACACUGCAGAGUUCAAUAGAAUAUGUCUAUACGAUAGAGUGAUAGAUCAAUAGAUUCUAUACGUAACAGAGUUACCCUAUCCAAGGGUGGGCAUUCUGAAUGUAUAAAUAACUGUACUACUAUGAGUUCAAGAUUAUGCUAUAUAUCAUUUAUAUUAAUUUCCCCCUACUUUUGCAGUAAGGUCUCAGAUUUGACCUACAGCCUUGAUAUUACAAAGUACUUGAUCCUGAAUCUGCAAAACAUAAGCAUGUACUUAAUGAGUUGGCUCAUAUCCUUAGGUGGUGUAAAUUAGCAUAGCUCCGUUAACUGAAGUAGACUACUCAGAUGCAUAGGGUUAAGCAUAUGCAGGAUCAGGCAACAAACAUGCAAAUAUGCAGUGAUUUGGUAGAUUUACCAGCAUUUACCAGGCUAAAUCUCAUUGGCAGAAUUUGUCAAUUUCUAAAAUUUGAUUUAUUUAUUCACCAUGAGCAUAUCCAUUCCUUAGAGGUCUUGUUCCACUAAAGUUCCCUGAAGAAAACUUAUAAUUUACUUAUUCUGAUUAUGCCAGAGUUCUUAACUUAAGCUCUAAGCACAUAAAAUCAGUCUUCAGUUAAAUUCAUUAUUCAGUUACCCAUGAUAUAAUGUUAAUAUUAAAACAUGGUGUUCAGUAUAUUAUUUUAUUUGCCUA
Caretta caretta (loggerhead turtle) is the source of this 2066-nucleotide non-coding RNA. The record is from RefSeq and is a predicted model, not a curated record. NCBI's taxonomy places the organism in Eukaryota, Metazoa, Chordata, Testudines, Cheloniidae.